AGGCCAGACUCCUACGGGAGGCAGCAGUGGGGGAUAUUGCACAAUGGGGGGAACCCUGAUGCAGCGACGCCGCGUGGGUGAAGAAGCGCCUCGGCGCGUAAAGCCCUGUCAGCAGGGAAGAAAAUGACGGUACCUGAAGAAGAAGCCCCGGCUAACUACGUGCCAGCAGCCGCGGUAAUACGUAGGGGGCAAGCGUUAUCCGGAUUUACUGGGUGUAAAGGGAGCGUAGACGGCUGUGCAAGUCAGAAGUGAAAGCCCGGGGCUCAACCCCGGGACUGCUUUUGAAACUGCGUGGCUGGAGUGCAGGAGAGGGAAGCGGAAUUCCUGGUGUAGCGGUGAAAUGCGUAGAUAUAAGGAGGAACACCAGUGGCGAAGGCGGCUUACUGGACUGUAACUGACGUUGAGGCUCGAAAGCGUGGGGAGCAAACAGGAUUAGAUACCCCGGUAGCA
Molecule: ribosomal RNA, 450 nt
Filed under: uncultured bacterium
Lineage: Bacteria
Description: bacterial SSU rRNA
Rfam family: Bacterial small subunit ribosomal RNA
Source: RNAcentral